This 1439-nucleotide long non-coding RNA is filed under the name Homo sapiens (human). Its description in RNAcentral is "HSALNT0048345". Lineage: Eukaryota; Metazoa; Chordata; Mammalia; Primates; Hominidae. The record is from RNAcentral.
GGUGAGUUGGUUGAUUAUUUGUUGGUUGGUGAAUUUGUUGAUUGGUUUUUGCCUGGUGAUUGCCCUAUUUAACCUCCCCUUGCUGGCUGCUUGGAUUCCAAGUAUGUGUGAUUAUGAUGUUUUCCUGUGAUCUCUUUAGGAAUCACCUUUGGUUGCUGAAGCAUCCAAAGUGGAAGAACUCUCAGAGGAAACGGAAGUUAAAUCACCAUCUUCUUCUGUGGCUAAACCUAUAACAGUAAGAGGGCAGGAGGAAAAUUCCUGACUAUGACCUGGAUUUCUCCUACUCUCUUAGCCUCUGGAGUAGGGAUAACUCAAUUCAACUUUUCUGCUCUGACUUGUAUUUUGAAGGCCAAGGAAACAAGGCCCAUGCACGCAUGUGCGCGCGCACCUCCCCACCCCCCACACACACUCAGGUUCAUUGUUUUCCCAAUUCCCCAGCAGUUCACAUAUUUCUGUAGACCAAGUCCUUUCCAGUAUCCCCACAAUCUUUUUUCAGAGGCUAUCUUACCAUGAUCUCACCAAGCCCAUGGCAGGAUAGCCCUUCACAAGUUUCUUCCUAAGGAUUCCUCAACCUGCAGAGCUAAAGACUUCUGUCCGAUCUGGGAAUCUACUGCCUUUCUCAGCCAUUUGGACAGAGUCGCUGAAAACUAUGCUGUGCCUUCAUAAAGCCCUGUGAGCUGAAGCAAGACAACUGAAACUUCAGAAUAUAACAGCAACCUAUUUACAUAAAUAAGCCACUUUCAUACCUGCCUACUAAUGUAUGGACUUCAGAGUAAUGGGGCCUAUAUCAAUUUUCCAGGAUUGUUCUUUUGUUUAUUGUGUUUUUCUUUCUUCCUCCCGCUAUUUUCUCUUCACUGGAUGUGAGACUUCACAACCUUUUUAAAAAUAAGAUUUCCUAAUAACUUGGGACCUACCUGUCUAGGAAUAAAGCAUCCUAGCCAUGAGAGAGCAGACAAAACCUGGGACCAGAGAUUUGUUUUCUUCUAAAAUGCUUUCUCCGAAAUAUUUUUAAAAAGAAAAGGGGAGAAAUGUGAAAGGAAAAUAUCUUGGUCCCCCAGAAUCACUAAGCUAAAGAGAAAAUUCAAGCUGGGAACUGUUAGGGCAAACCUGCCUCCCAUUCUAUUCAAAGUCAUCCCUCUUUUGAGAUAAAUGCAUAUCUGAUUGCCUCCUUUGGAAAGGCUAAUAAGAAACUCAAAAGAAUGCAACCAUUUGUCUCUUACCUACCUGUGACCUGGAAGCCCCUGUCUGCUUCAAGUUGUCCUGCUUUUGCUUCAAGUUGUUCUAGCUUUCUGGACAGAACCAAUGUUCAUUUUACCUAUGUUAAUUGAUGUCUCAUAUCUCCCUAAAAUGUAUAAAACCAAGCUGUGUUCUGACCACUUUGGGCACAUGUCAUCAGGACCUCCUGAGGCUGUGUCAUGGGUAUGCGUCCACAACCUUGG